Molecule: long non-coding RNA, 246 nt
Organism: Mauremys reevesii (Reeves's turtle)
Lineage: Eukaryota; Metazoa; Chordata; Testudines; Geoemydidae
Exons: 3
Source: RefSeq, a predicted model, not a curated record
UCGGCUCUACCAACGGUAGCUGCACCAGAGGGACCUGACCAUCCACGAGGCCGAAGAGCUGUGGCUCCGAGACUGGCACGAGGACAGCAGGCUCCUCGGCUUUAAAAACACAGCCAGGGUCGGAGAGGUCUUUGGAAAGUUAUUCUCGGAGGGGCAGAGACGCUUCUUCCUGCGGACGGCAGUGCUGGCCAUGCACAACCCCCGGCUGCGUGUCAGCCAGGCUGGGCUGCUCCUCACUUACUCCCU